GCUGGGCAUGGUGGUGCAUGCCUGUAAUCCCAGCAGCUCCGGAGGCUGAGACAGGAGGAUCGUGAGUUCAAAGCUAGCCUCAGCAACAACGAGGUGCUAUGCAAUUCAGUGAGACCAUGUCUCUA
This 125-nucleotide small RNA is filed under the name Marmota monax (woodchuck). Lineage: Eukaryota; Metazoa; Chordata; Mammalia; Rodentia; Sciuridae. The record is from RNAcentral.